UACAGAGGGUGCAAGCGUUGUUCGGAAUUAUUGGGCGUAAAGGGAGUGUAGGCUGCUUGUUAAGUCUUCUGUGAAAUCUACGGGCUUAGCCUGUAAAGUGCAGAGGAAACUGGCGAGCUUGAGUGUCGGAGAGGGUAGCGGAAUUCCCGGUGUAGAGGUGAAAUUCGUAGAGAUCGGGAGGAACACCAGCGGCGAAGGCGGCAUCCUGGCCCUAUCCUGACGCUGAGGCGCGAGAGCGUGGGGAGCAAACCGG
RNAcentral lists this ribosomal RNA (253 nucleotides) under uncultured bacterium. Its description in RNAcentral is "partial 16S ribosomal RNA". It matches the Rfam family "Bacterial small subunit ribosomal RNA", at positions 524 to 776 of the family's 1533-position model. The record is from RNAcentral.